This 490-nucleotide long non-coding RNA is filed under the name Cavia porcellus (domestic guinea pig). RNAcentral's name for it is "lncRNA (ENSCPOG00000033363.1)". Lineage: Eukaryota; Metazoa; Chordata; Mammalia; Rodentia; Caviidae. The record is from RNAcentral.
CCUCUGCCCUCUGUCCUAACCUGCUCACUCCUCAGUAGGGACUCCAUCUCCGUCUCUACCAAAGUCCACGUUCGAGAACCUGUUGAUGGGGUGGUGAAAAGGCUGAAAUUGAUCACAAUGCCAAGAAUGUUCUCACUUAAAGAUAAAUGGAAGAAUUUUUACGUGCCACAAAUCAGUCAGCUGUCUUCCCUGCCUGUACAACUUGGAGGGGAAAAAAAUCAGGACUCUCUGCUUUCUCCUUCUGGAAAGAGUCGAACCAAAGAAUAAUCAGAUUCUGGGGGUCUUUCUGGGACUUUCAUCUACUGGUGACAUGACUAGAGCAGGAGGAGAACCCGGGUCCACGGCUGAGCUGAAGUCCUGACUUCCUUCUGUGGAAUUCCACACAGAUUCCAGUGUCCAGUCCCCUCACGGCUUUCUGGUAAGAAAAUGAUUGAACUGCAGGACACUCUUGGAAAGCAGGGCCCAUGCAGGGAGGAAGUACGGAGCAGAA